RNAcentral lists this ribosomal RNA (964 nucleotides) under Lactobacillus delbrueckii. Its description in RNAcentral is "bacterial SSU rRNA". It matches the Rfam family "Bacterial small subunit ribosomal RNA", at positions 54 to 984 of the family's 1533-position model. The record is from RNAcentral. Lineage: Bacteria; Bacillati; Bacillota; Bacilli; Lactobacillales; Lactobacillaceae.
UAUACAGUCGAGCGAGCUGAAUUCAAAGAUUCCCUUCGGGGAUGAUUUGUUGGACGCUAGCGGCGGAUGGGUGAGUAACACGUGGGCAAUCUGCCCUAAAGACUGGGAUACCACUUGGAAACAGGUGCUAAUACCGGAUAACAACAUGAAUCGCAUGAUUCAAGUUUGAAAGGCGGCGCAAGCUGUCACUUUAGGAUGAGCCCGCGGCGCAUUAGCUAGUUGGUGGGGUAAAGGCCUACCAAGGCAAUGAUGCGUAGCCGAGUUGAGAGACUGAUCGGCCACAUUGGGACUGAGACACGGCCCAAACUCCUACGGGAGGCAGCAGUAGGGAAUCUUCCACAAUGGACGCAAGUCUGAUGGAGCAACGCCGCGUGAGUGAAGAAGGUCUUCGGAUCGUAAAGCUCUGUUGUUGGUGAAGAAGGAUAGAGGCAGUAACUGGUCUUUAUUUGACGGUAAUCAACCAGAAAGUCACGGCUAACUACGUGCCAGCAGCCGCGGUAAUACGUAGGUGGCAAGCGUUGUCCGGAUUUAUUGGGCGUAAAGCGAGCGCAGGCGGAAUGAUAAGUCUGAUGUGAAAGCCCACGGCUCAACCGUGGAACUGCAUCGGAAACUGUCAUUCUUGAGUGCAGAAGAGGAGAGUGGAACUCCAUGUGUAGCGGUGGAAUGCGUAGAUAUAUGGAAGAACACCAGUGGCGAAGGCGGCUCUCUGGUCUGCAACUGACGCUGAGGCUCGAAAGCAUGGGUAGCGAACAGGAUUAGAUACCCUGGUAGUCCAUGCCGUAAACGAUGAGCGCUAGGUGUUGGGGACUUUCCGGUUCCUCAGUGCCGCAGCAAACGCAUUAAGCGCUCCGCCUGGGGAGUACGACCGCAAGGUUGAAACUCAAAGGAAUUGACGGGGGCCCGCACAAGCGGUGGAGCAUGUGGUUUUAUUCGAAGCAACGCGAAGAACCUUACCAGGUCUUGA